UAGAAGAACCCGUGAAAAAGUGCCUCUAGCCACGGCUCGAGGAGAAUAGGGAAAGGGGUGUAAAUCCCCUACGGUGACGCCGCUGUAACGAGUGACGAACGCUCACAUUUACCUAAAGGGUAAAUGUUCCACCACUGCUUUAGACCAUCUAAUGGUCGCUAAAGGCGGGAAGGUUGAGCUUGUAGGAUGAUCUCGAAGCCAGAAGACCUGCUUUUUCAUGCUCAUCACA
RNAcentral lists this non-coding RNA (229 nucleotides) under Candidatus Protochlamydia naegleriophila. Lineage: Bacteria; Pseudomonadati; Chlamydiota; Chlamydiia; Parachlamydiales; Parachlamydiaceae. The record is from RNAcentral.